RNAcentral lists this ribosomal RNA (311 nucleotides) under Lacticaseibacillus paracasei. RNAcentral describes it as "bacterial SSU rRNA". It matches the Rfam family "Bacterial small subunit ribosomal RNA", at positions 547 to 847 of the family's 1533-position model. Lineage: Bacteria; Bacillati; Bacillota; Bacilli; Lactobacillales; Lactobacillaceae. The record is from RNAcentral.
GGAUUUAUUGGGCGUAAAGGCGAGCGCAGGCGGUUUUAAUUUAAGUCUGAUGUGAAAGCCCUCGGGUUAACCGAGGAAGCGCAUCGGAAACUGGGAAACUUGAGUGCAGAAGAGGACAGUGGAACUCCAUGUGUAGCGGUGAAAUGCGUAGAUAUAUGGAAGAACCACCAGUGGCGAAGGCGGCUGUCUGGUCUGUAACUGAGCGCUGAGGCUCGAAAGCAUGGGUAGCGAACAGGAUUAGAUACCCUGGAAUAGUCCAUGCCGUAAACGAUGAAUGCUAGGUGUUGGAGGGUUUCCGCCCUUCCAGUGCC